Betta splendens (Siamese fighting fish) is the source of this 706-nucleotide long non-coding RNA. RefSeq lists it as uncharacterized. The record is from RefSeq and is a predicted model, not a curated record. Lineage: Eukaryota; Metazoa; Chordata; Actinopteri; Anabantiformes; Osphronemidae. The transcript is spliced from 3 exons.
CACUUGACCACUCACAGAACCUGUGAGUAGACCUGUGCAUUUGGGUUAUGGCAAGUUCUAUCUAAGUCUAACAUGUAUGUCGUGACUGUCUUCUCGUAUGUGUUGCUUAUCUACUCAGCUACUGUAGCUGUAAAUGUGAAAAUGUUUUUUUAUUUUAUGAUACAGGCUGAUGCAUCCCAGCUACCGAAACGCAAGGAGGUUGCUUCUCAAACUGAUGCCACUGCAGACUGUGGACACACGGCUACCUUGUAGAAGAGUUGUUGCUCACCUCAGGAGCAAAGAUUAUGUGGAAAAUGUGAUGGAGACCAUCUUCAAUAAAGUCCUGCUGGACCCAGGUUGUUAUAUGGAGGACCCUAUUAACAUCCCUGUCCCACUGGCCCUUUGAGCAGAAUUUAAGCAACCUGACACAGCUGCACUGCUUCCGAUGUCUUCCAAAACGUGAUGAGCAGAACAAAGAUCCUCACAUCUCCCCAGUCAACUGCCCAUGACUGUACCUGUUCCACUCCAGAAACUAUGCUUUCAACAUAACUAUGAAUCCUACCCGUUCAUUUUGUGGUCUGCAAAUUUAACUGUGAAGGUAACUUAUCCAGCAUUAUAGUGCUGGUGCAUUGGUUAACAAUAAAGUUGGCUUUGACUAUUGCUGUUUCACUGAACUAUUUUUCUAUGAGGGAAAACAGACAAAUGUUUUAUAAUAUUACAACUUUUA